ACAGCAGUAGCCACGGUAAUACAGAGGGUGCGAGCGUUAAUCGGAUUUACUGGGCGUAAAGCGUGCGUAGGCGGCUUUUUAAGUCGGAUGUGAAAUCCCUGAGCUUAACUUAGGAAUUGCAUUCGAUACUGGGAAGCUAGAGUAUGGGAGAGGAUGGUAGAAUUCCAGGUGUAGCGGUGAAAUGCGUAGAGAUCUGGAGGAAUACCGAUGGCGAAGGCAGCCAUCUGGCCUAAUACUGACGCUGAGGUACGAAAGCAUGGGGAGCAAACAGGAUUAGAUACCCCGGUAGUCCCUGUCUCUUAUAU
Molecule: ribosomal RNA, 305 nt
Filed under: uncultured bacterium
Lineage: Bacteria
Description: partial 16S ribosomal RNA
Rfam family: Bacterial small subunit ribosomal RNA
Source: RNAcentral